AUGGCGUGGAUCUGGGUGGUCGCGGUGGCCGGAGCCAUCCUCCUUCUGUGGGCGGUCUCCCUCGGCCGGAUACUCUCCUCCCCGGCGCCCUACUGCCUCCCUCCGAGCCCUCGCUUCCUGCUCCCUCUCCACGGCGACAGGAGGUGCCGGAACGUGCUCCUGGUGCUCGCCCACCCCGACGACGAGUCCAUGUUUUUUACUCCAACGAUUCUUUUCCUCGAAUCAAAAGGUCACAAGGUUCAUGUUUUGUGCAUGUCUCUUGGUAACGCUGAUGGUUUUGGAGAUACUCGUAAAGAAGAAUUGUACAAUGCAUGCGCUACUCUGAAGAUUCCAGCUGAGCAAGUUGCAGUCUUGGACCAUCAACAGUUGCAGGAUGGGUUUCAUGAGGAAUGGGAUCAUGGACUACUAGCAGAACUUACCAUGGAGCAGAUCCAACUGUGGGAUAUCGACACAAUUGUGACCUUUGAUUCCUAUGGAGUAUCAGGUCAUCCGAAUCAUCGUGAUGUUCAUCAUGGCAUAUGCAAGCUUCUUCAUGAGAAUCAGCAAGAAAAUAUUGAAGCGUGGGAACUUGUAAGCCUGAACAUGUUUCGGAAAUACAGUGGUGCAGUUGAAAUUUGGUUAUCUCCGUUGAUCUCCUCAAGUUCAAAGCAACUGAUAUGUUGUCUAGUUAACUGUAACCCUUCCAGAACCUUUAAGGCAAUGGCUGCACACAGAAGCCAGUGGGUUUGGUAA
Molecule: ribosomal RNA, 732 nt
Filed under: Triticum aestivum (bread wheat)
Lineage: Eukaryota; Viridiplantae; Streptophyta; Magnoliopsida; Poales; Poaceae
Description: partial small subunit ribosomal RNA
Source: RNAcentral